Molecule: small nuclear RNA, 21 nt
Filed under: Arabidopsis thaliana (thale cress)
Lineage: Eukaryota; Viridiplantae; Streptophyta; Magnoliopsida; Brassicales; Brassicaceae
Description: snRNA_11684
Source: RNAcentral
ACGUGCAAAUCGUUCGUCUGA